RNAcentral lists this ribosomal RNA (460 nucleotides) under uncultured bacterium. RNAcentral describes it as "partial 16S ribosomal RNA". It matches the Rfam family "Bacterial small subunit ribosomal RNA", at positions 338 to 795 of the family's 1533-position model. The record is from RNAcentral.
CCUACGGGUGGCAGCAGUGAGGAAUAUUGGUCAAUGGACGAAAGUCUGAACCAGCCAUGCCGCGUGCAGGAAGACGGCUCUAUGAGUUGUAAACUGCUUUUGUACAAGGGUAAACCUGAAUACGUAUUCUCCGCUGCAUUUACUGUACGAGUAAGGAUCGGCUAACUCCGUGCCAGCAGCCGCGGUAAUACGGAGGGUCCAAGCGUUAUCCGGAUUUAUUGGGUUUAAAGGGUGCGUAGGCGGGUUGGUAAGUCAGAGGUGAAAUGUCCGGGCUCAACUCGGGAACUGCCGCUAAUACUGGCGAGCGAGAGAGUAGAUGCGGUAGGCGGAAUGUAUGGUGUAGCGGUGAAAUGCUUAGAGAUCAUACAGAACACCGAUUGCGAAGGCAGCUUACCAAUCUAUAUCUGACGUUGAGGCACGAAAGCGUGGGGAGCAAACAGGAUUAGAUACCCUUGUAGUC